UACGGAGGAUCCAAGCGUUAUCCGGAUUUAUUGGGUUUAAAGGGUGCGCAGGCGGAAUGAUCAGUCAGUGGUGAAAUCCUACGGCUCAACCGUAGAACUGCCAUUGAUACUGUCAUUCUUGAGUAUAAUUGAUGUGGGCGGAAUGUGUCAUGUAGCGGUGAAAUGCUUAGAUAUGACACAGAACACCGAUCGCGAAGGCAGCUCACAAAGCUAUAACUGACGCUCAGGCACGAAAGCGUGGGGAUCAAACAGG
RNAcentral lists this ribosomal RNA (253 nucleotides) under uncultured bacterium. Its description in RNAcentral is "partial 16S ribosomal RNA". It matches the Rfam family "Bacterial small subunit ribosomal RNA", at positions 524 to 776 of the family's 1533-position model. The record is from RNAcentral.